Molecule: ribosomal RNA, 433 nt
Filed under: uncultured bacterium
Lineage: Bacteria
Description: partial 16S ribosomal RNA
Rfam family: Bacterial small subunit ribosomal RNA
Source: RNAcentral
AAUGAACGCUGGCGGCAUGCCUAACACAUGCAAGUCGAACGAAGGCUUCGGCCUUAGUGGCGCACGGGUGCGUAACGCGUGGGAAUCUGCCCUUGGGUUCGGAAUAACAGUUAGAAAUGACUGCUAAUACCGGAUGAUGUCGUAAGACCAAAGAUUUAUCGCCCAAGGAUGAGCCCGCGUAGGAUUAGCUAGUUGGUGGGGUAAAGGCCUACCAAGGCGACGAUCCUUAGCUGGUCUGAGAGGAUGAUCAGCCACACUGGGACUGAGACACGGCCCAGACUCCUACGGGAGGCAGCAGUGGGGAAUAUUGGACAAUGGGCGAAAGCCUGAUCCAGCAAUGCCGCGUGAGUGAUGAAGGCCUUAGGGUUGUAAAGCUCUUUUACACGGGAUGAUAAUGACAGUACCGGGAGAAUAAGCUCCGGCUAACUUCGUG